GGGUGCAGCAGGCGCGAAAACUUUACCAUGCCGGCAACGGCGAUAAGGGAACCUCGAGUGCCAGGUUACAAAUCUGGCUGUCGUGAUGCCUAAAAAGCAUUGCAUAGCAAGGGCCGGGCAAGACCGGUGCCAGCCGCCGCGGUAACACCGGCGGCUCGAGUGGUAACCGUUAUUAUUGGGUCUAAAGGGUCUGUAGCCGGCCGGAUAAGUCUCUUGGGAAAUCUGGCAGCUUAACUGUCAGGCUUUCAGGAGAUACUGUCUGGCUCGAGGCCGGGAGAGGUGAGAGGUACUUCAGGGGUAGGGGUGAAAUCUUGUAAUCCUUGAAGGACCACCAGUGGCGAAGGCGUCUCACCAGAACGGACCUGACGGCAAGGGACGAAAGCUAGGGGCAUGAACCGGAUUAGAUACCCGGGUAGUCCUAGCCGUAAACGAUACUCGCUAGGUGUCGGCCACGGUGCGACCGUGGUCGGUGCCGUAGGGAAGCCGUGAAGCGAGCCACCUGGGAAGUACGGCCGCAAGGCUGAAACUUAAAGGAAUUGGCGGGGGAGCAC
Molecule: ribosomal RNA, 551 nt
Filed under: uncultured archaeon
Lineage: Archaea
Description: bacterial SSU rRNA
Rfam family: Archaeal small subunit ribosomal RNA
Source: RNAcentral